GUAAGAGUUGCAGGCUGAGAUGGACUAAUUAUCUCAGGCCCGGAAUCAAACGUGGUAACUUCACUGAACAUGAGGAGAAGAUGAUUAUCCACCUUCAAGCGCUUCUUGGCAACCGGUAUGUAUAUAGAAAUCUUGUUUCGUUAUGAAUACACACACUAAUAUGAGGCCAUGCAAGAUCUUGUUUUUCUUGAAUUAGGGUUUGAUCUAACUGUAGUCCCAAAUGCCAAAACAAGAUUUUUUAAGCUUUUAUGGGAUGGCUGAGAAUCUGGAUUCAUUAGAAUGGAAAAAUCUUGUUUAUUAUACUGUUCAUGGAACAGAAAAUAUUAUAGGGAUCUCAAUAGUGGUAUGCUAAUUUGUUUUAUGGUGCAGAUGGGCUGCCAUAGCUUCAUACCUUCCGCAACGAACCGACAAUGAUAUUAAGAACUUUUGGAACACUCAUUUGAAAAAGAAGCUGAAGAAACAACAAGGGAAUGAUGAACAAAAUCAAGAAGGGAGUUCAGAUUCUCAAUCAAUUCCAAAAGGCCAGUGGGAGAGAAGGCUCCAAACAGAUAUUCACAUGGCAAAACAAGCCCUAUGUGAAGCCUUGUCCUUAGACAAAUGGAACACAAAUUUGCUUGAUUCAAAGCCCUUUCCAGUAACCCUUUCAGAAACUAAACCAAUUCAGACAUCAACAUAUGCUUCGAGUACUGAAAACAUUGCGCGUUUGCUUCAGAACUGGACGAAAAAAUCACCAAAUUCCUCUCAAGCUGGUUCAUCACAGAGUACUACUCAGACUUCCUUCAACAACCCUUCAAUAGGGACAAGUUCCAGUCCUAGUGAAGGGACAAUUAGUGCCACAACACCUGAGGGAUUCGACUCAUUUAUGGGCUUCAGUUCUUCCAACUCCGAUGUUUCUCAAUCUGAGGGCGAACCCAAGGUCAAUGCUGCAAAUUUCAUUCCAGAAGCUGGGACUUUGCAGGGGGAGAGCAAGAUAAAUUUGGACAUUCAAAUGCCCCUAACUUUGCUGGAAAACUGGCUCUUUGAUGAUGCUUCUGCACAAGGAGGGGGAGGAUACAUAAUGGACAUGUCUUUGGGGGAAAAUGCUGAUUUGUUUUGAAAAAAGUUUUUCUUCAAAACAAAGUAGCAGUUUCAGGUUGAUCUUUUUGUCUUUUUGGUGGGUUUUUAGGCAGAAGUGUCCUAAUCAGUGUCUGCUCCAUCUAGAUCGAGCACAAAAGGAUGGAAUCUUCCAUAUAUUGGGAGAGCAUAAAGUGUAAAUGACUGAUCAUGUAUUGCAAUGUUUGGUAUGUAGUAUUAGAUAGAACUGGAUAGUAAAAAAAAUUGAUUUUAACUUCAUUUUAUUUGUUACUACUUUCCAGUACUAUGUAAUCCUCCGUACCAAACAUGUCAUACUAGUAGUGUAUAUGCACAUAUGCAUGGUUAAUUAAAUAGGAAUAAAUCUCUCUUGAUCUAUCUCCUUAGAACAACUGUUUGUACUCUGUGCACCAUUUGGUGUUUAUUAUGAGAAAUGAUAAUUAUGGUUUGAGUUAUGAUGCUUCCGAAUUUACUAAUGGUCUGUUCGGUAAUGAUUAUGAGAAUUGAUUUUUUGACUGUUAAAGAUAAAGUGGGUUUUACCUGUAAAUGAAGAAGUAAAAAAUGAUGACUGAAAUAGUGAAAUAACAUUCAAAAAAUUAAUUUUUUUGGCAUAUAAAAUUGCUAACAAAUGGGGCUAAAUAAAACUACAUUUUGUAUGUGGCAUAUAAUCCUGACCGUGAAAUGAAAUUUUUGGGGGAAAAAAAAAAAAACAACAACAACCAGUUUUUAUCACAGUCCUUUAAAAAAUUUCAAUUCUAAACACACUCAUUUUUUGUCUUCCCUCGGACGUAGGCCAAGUGCCGAACCUUCUAAGUUCUUUACUUUCUUCUCUUUUACAUUUUGCCUAAAAUCCUAAUCUGCAGCAGCAAGUCGUGUUAUGAUUUCAGAACCGAUAAAGUUGCAGGCUGAGAUGGACUAAUUAUCUCAGGCCCGGAAUCAAACGUGGUAACUUCACUGAACAUGAGGAGAAGAUGAUUAUCCACCUUCAAGCGCUUCUUGGCAACCGGUAUGUAUAUAGAAAUCUUGUUUCGUUAUGAAUACACACACUAAUAUGAGGCCAUGCAAGAUCUUGUUUUUCUUGAAUUAGGGUUUGAUCUAACUGUAGUCCCAAAUGCCAAAACAAGAUUUUUUAAGCUUUUAUGGGAUGGCUGAGAAUCUGGAUUCAUUAGAAUGGAAAAAUCUUGUUUAUUAUACUGUUCAUGGAACAGAAAAUAUUAUAGGGAUCUCAAUAGUGGUAUGCUAAUUUGUUUUAUGGUGCAGAUGGGCUGCCAUAGCUUCAUACCUUCCGCAACGAACCGACAAUGAUAUUAAGAACUUUUGGAACACUCAUUUGAAAAAGAAGCUGAAGAAACAACAAGGGAAUGAUGAACAAAAUCAAGAAG
Molecule: long non-coding RNA, 2453 nt
Filed under: Olea europaea (common olive)
Lineage: Eukaryota; Viridiplantae; Streptophyta; Magnoliopsida; Lamiales; Oleaceae
Description: long non-coding RNA (OEUR_LNC006897)
Source: RNAcentral